GAUGAACGCUGGCGGCGUGCCUAAUACAUGCAAGUCGAGCGAACAGAUAAGGAGCUUGCUCCUUUGAAGUUAGCGGCGGACGGGUGAGUAACACGUGGGUAACCUACCUAUAAGACUGGGAUAACUUCGGGAAACCGGAGCUAAUACCGGAUAACAUUUGGAACCGCAUGGUUCUAAAGUGAAAGAUGGCUUUGCUAUCACUUAUAGAUGGACCCGCGCCGUAUUAGCUAGUUGGUAAGGUAACGGCUUACCAAGGCGACGAUACGUAGCCGACCUGAGAGGGUGAUCGGCCACACUGGAACUGAGACACGGUCCAGACUCCUGCGGGAGGCAGCAGUAGGGAAUCUUCCGCAAUGGGCGGAAGCCUGACGGAGCAACGCCGCGUGAGUGAUGAAGGGUUUCGGCUCGUAAAACUCUGUUAUUAGGGAAGAACAAAUGUGUAAGUAACUGUGCACAUCUUGACGGUACCUAAUCAGAAAGCCACGGCUAACUACGUGCCAGCAGCCGCGGUAAUACGUAGGUGGCAAGCGUUAUCCGGAAUUAUUGGGCGUAAAGCGCGCGUAGGCGGUUUCUUAAGUCUGAUGUGAAAGCCCACGGCUCAACCGUGGAGGGUCAUUGGAAACUGGGAAACUUGAGUGCAGAAGAGGAAAGUGGAAUUCCAUGUGUAGCGGUGAAAUGCGCAGAGAUAUGGAGGAACACCAGUGGCGAAGGCGACUUUCUGGUCUGUAACUGACGCUGAUGUGCGAAAGCGUGGGGAUCAAACAGGAUUAGAUACCCUGGCAGUCCACGCCGUAAACGAUGAGUGCUAAGUGUUAGGGGGUUUCCGCCCCUUAGUGCUGCAGCUAACGCAUUAAGCACUCCGCCUGGGGAGUACGACCGCAAGGUUGAAACUCAAAGGAAUUGACGGGGACCCGCACAAGCGGUGGAGCAUGUGGUUUAAUUCGAAGCAACGCGAAGAACCUUACCAAAUCUUGACAUCCUUUGAAAACUCUAGAGAUAGAGCCUUCCCCUUCGGGGGACAAAGUGACAGGUGGUGCAUGGUUGUCGUCAGCUCGUGUCGUGAGAUGUUGGGUUGAGUCCCGCAACGAGCGCAACCCUUAAGCUUAGUUGCCAUCAUUAAGUUGGGCACUCUAGGUUGACUGCCGGUGACAAACCGGAGGAAGGUGGGGAUGACGUCAAAUCAUCAUGCCCCUUAUGAUUUGGGCUACACACGUGCUACAAUGGACAAUACAAAGGGCAGCUAAACCGCGAGGUCAUGCAAAUCCCAUAAAGUUGUUCUCAGUUCGGAUUGUAGUCUGCAACUCGACUACAUGAAGCUGGAAUCGCUAGUAAUCGUAGAUCAGCAUGCUACGGUGAAUACGUUCCCGGGUCU
Molecule: ribosomal RNA, 1372 nt
Filed under: uncultured bacterium
Lineage: Bacteria
Description: bacterial SSU rRNA
Rfam family: Bacterial small subunit ribosomal RNA
Source: RNAcentral